GACGAACGCUGGCGGCGUGCCUAAUACAUGCAAGUCGAACGAGAGCGACCGGUGCUUGCACUGGUCAAUCUAGUGGCGAACGGGUGAGUAACACGUGGGUAACCUGCCCAUCAGAGGGGGAUAACAUCCGGAAACGGAUGCUAAAACCGCAUAGGUCUUCGAGCCGCAUGGCUUGAAGAGGAAAAGAGGCGCAAGCUUCUGCUGAUGGAUGGACCCGCGGUGCAUUAGCUAGUUGGUGAGGUAACGGCUCACCAAGGCCGUGAUGCAUAGCCGACCUGAGAGGGUGAUCGGCAACAUUGGGACUGAGACACGGCCCAAACUCCUACGGGAGGCAGCAGUAGGGAAUCUUCCGCAGUGGACGCAAGUCUGACGGAGCAACGCCGCGUGAGUGAAGAAGGUUUUCGGAUCGUAAAACUCUGUUGUUAGAGAAGAACAAGUGCUAGAGUAACUGUUAGCGCCUUGACGGUAUCUAACCAGAAAGCCACGGCUAACUACGU
Molecule: ribosomal RNA, 497 nt
Filed under: uncultured bacterium
Lineage: Bacteria
Description: partial 16S ribosomal RNA
Rfam family: Bacterial small subunit ribosomal RNA
Source: RNAcentral